This is a long non-coding RNA of Melitaea cinxia (Glanville fritillary), 420 nucleotides long. RefSeq lists it as uncharacterized. NCBI's taxonomy places the organism in Eukaryota, Metazoa, Arthropoda, Insecta, Lepidoptera, Nymphalidae. The transcript is spliced from 2 exons. The record is from RefSeq and is a predicted model, not a curated record.
CCGGCGGAUGUUCAACAAUAUCAAGGCAGAAGGACAUUAAAUCGUUCACCAACUCUACAUCACCAGUGCUGCCGUCCGACAUGUACACCUCGAAGUCCAAAUCUUGAGGCAGCACAGUGAUGUUGUUUUUGACCGCACUCUCGUAGAUUCGAGAACCUACUGUUCCGUGUAUCCUUUAGUAAUGGAAUGGCAGAGAAAAAUAUCAAGCAAGUAAAAAUGUUCAAAAUCAAAAAAUCAAAUAUUUCUUGUUUUAAGUAGGCUUCUAAAGCAGGGAUGUCAACGAUCAUCGAUGAUACGGCCCGUGAGCUGUAUCCUUGCUCCUGGGCUGUAUCAAUAUGGCCUGCAUUUGGCCAUGAUUCACAGCAACUGUCUAUUAUAUACUAGGUAUAUAAUUAAAAAAUAAAAUGUUAUAACAAUUCA